Molecule: long non-coding RNA, 1757 nt
Organism: Xenia sp. Carnegie-2017
Lineage: Eukaryota; Metazoa; Cnidaria; Anthozoa; Malacalcyonacea; Xeniidae
Exons: 8
Source: RefSeq, a predicted model, not a curated record
UAAAUGAUAUUCUCCUCCUUAUCAUGAUAACAUUCCUAUUUCUUACGUGCUUGCAACUUGCCAUGGCGUUUUAUACUUUAUAUGGCUUUACAGAAGAUAGUGGGAUAGUGAAAUAUCUUAAAUAAUAGCGGGUUUUAUUCAAACAUCAUUUCAAAGAUAAAGAUGACUAAGGUGACUAGGAAGAGUCCUUUCAGUUUAUGGUGGGCAAUAAAAGUGAGGAUUCCUUGUUGUAGGAUGAUUUUCAGAGUCAAUACAUAAUAUGUGACCAAAGUCUUCCUCCCUGACCACCAUUUUGCAAGGAAAGCAUUGAUGUGGAUGCUGCAUAAAGAACAUGUUCAUGAUCUUCCUGUAGACACCAGAAAAAUGAAUUGAUUACUUCAUCAUACAACCAGCCAGCAGAGAUACAGAAUGUGGUCCAUUCCUUAAUAGUUUUGCGGUGAUUGAUGAAGAUUCUGUAAUGAGAGGAUUGCUGGUUGUUGACUUGCUGAUAUUUGAUGUUCUUUUUUUACGUUUCAUUGACGUUUUCCCGGCGUCAGGAGCUGUAAGUGCUAGUCCUGAAUCAGUAUUGCUGUUAUUCUCAAAUUCCUGAAGUGCAGACUGAAGACUCUUUUCCAGGCUGGCUAGUGAAGUUGAAUUAGUACACUCGUGGACCAAACUCUUUAUUCUAGAUAACAGAUCACAACACCUAGUAAUAGCUGUCCGUUUUGGGAACACUGGUUUAGGUAGAACAGCUGUCAUAGUUUGUUUUAUGUCAGCUUCUUCUGUUUCUUUUCUUGGUCAUGAAAACUUUCUGCACCACAAACUUGCUGAGCAUCGUCAACUCUUUUCAAAAUAUGAUCAAUUGGUUUGAACAAUAUAUCGACAUCUAAGGUCAGAAAUGGAGAAUCUUUAUAUGCUGUUGAUGUCCAACGUUCCCAUGCUUGCUCUCGAUGAAAAUCGCAAAGCAGCACUUUGCAGUCUGAAAAUAUACCCACAUGUUACACUCCAUGAUGAAUUGCAGAGCUACGUAGCCAUGGUGUUACAUGGUUGAUUUAGUGCAAUAAAGAAUGCCAGAUGUUUUGGUCAAAACCUCUUGCAGCUCGUGCCUCAUACCUGGAAAAACAAACUCAAUUGAUUUUAUUUCUUCUUCACAAAGAUCGGUCAUCAUAUGCUGUGGGUUCCAUCGUGGAUUCCAUUGAUGUAAAAUACUGAGAGCUUCUGUUAUACUAGCUGUUGUUUCAUCUUGUAUUACAAAGGAUGAAACGAUAGCAUAAUCAACAUUAGUCUUCACAGCAACAAAAAAUAAUGGCAAGGAAUACUUUGUGGUUUUGUAUGUGGCAUCUAGGAAAGCUAGUUCCUGACCAUAACGACAAAGUAACCUUGAUUGCCAAGCCGUUUGGUGUAUAAACAAAAGUCGCCCUUUUUGCUCCUUUGCAGUCGUCAUAACCUCUUCAUUUAAACUUAUGUCGUCAUCGCUGUCUUCUUCAUUUUAUUGCAAGACGAGCAUGUCAAACAAGAGCAUAUACCAUUCCAAGUCUGUGCGUGGUGUGAUCUUCUGGCCGCGGAAAUGAAAUAUAGAUUCUGCGUUCAGUUUUUACUGAGGAGCUGGGGUUUAUUAAAUGGGCUCGCAAAUCAGCAGAGGUCGUGUCACGUUUCUUCUUUUUAGCGUCAUGUGGCACCUAAAAAUAUUGCACUCUAAUCUUUUAGAAAAAAACCAAUUUAACAUGUGUAUACUUGUCGAUUUACUAUGAACAAAAAUAAAGCCACAGUAUAAGCAA